GACGAACGCUGGCGGCGUGCUUAACACAUGCAAGUCGAACGGAAAGGCCCUGCUUUUGUGGGGUGCUCGAGUGGCGAACGGGUGAGUAACACGGGAGUAACCUGCCCUUGACUUUGGGAUAACUUCAGGAAACUGGGGCUAAUACCGGAUAGGGGCUCCUGCUGCAUGGUGGGGGUUGGAAAGUUUCGGCGGUUGGGGAUGGACUCGCGGCUUAUCAGCUUGUUGGUGGGGUAGUGGCUUACCAAGGCUUUGACGGGUAGCCGGCCUGAGAGGGUGACCGGCCACAUUGGGACUGAGAUACGGCCCAGACUCCUACGGGAGGCAGCAGUGGGGAAUAUUGCACAAUGGGCGGAAGCCUGAUGCAGCAACGCCGCGUGCGGGAUGACGGCCUUCGGGUUGUAAACCGCUUUCGCCUGUGACGAAGCGUGAGUGACGGUAAUGGGUAAAGAAGCACCGGCUAACUACGUG
RNAcentral lists this ribosomal RNA (468 nucleotides) under uncultured bacterium. RNAcentral describes it as "partial 16S ribosomal RNA". It matches the Rfam family "Bacterial small subunit ribosomal RNA", at positions 28 to 507 of the family's 1533-position model. The record is from RNAcentral.